UGGGACGUCGCCAAGCCGGUUAAGGCACAAGACUUUGACUCUUGUAUACGCGCGUUCGAGUCGCGCCGUCCCAG
This is a transfer RNA of 74 nucleotides. It matches the Rfam family "tRNA". Rfam says of the family: Transfer RNA (tRNA) molecules are approximately 80 nucleotides in length. Their secondary structure includes four short double-helical elements and three loops (D, anti-codon, and T loops).